This 164-nucleotide ribosomal RNA is filed under the name Strelitzia reginae (bird-of-paradise). RNAcentral's name for it is "5.8S ribosomal RNA". It matches the Rfam family "5.8S ribosomal RNA". From Rfam's summary of the family: 5.8S ribosomal RNA (5.8S rRNA) is a component of the large subunit of the eukaryotic ribosome. It is transcribed by RNA polymerase I as part of the 45S precursor that also contains 18S and 28S rRNA. Functionally, it is thought that 5.8S rRNA may be involved in ribosome translocation. The record is from RNAcentral. Lineage: Eukaryota; Viridiplantae; Streptophyta; Magnoliopsida; Zingiberales; Strelitziaceae.
GACGACUCUCGGCAACGGAUAUCUAGGCUCUCGCAUCGAUGAAGAACGUAGCGAAAUGCGAUACCUGGUGUGAAUUGCAGAAUCCCGCGAACCAUCGAGUCUUUGAACGCAAGUUGCGCCCGAGGCCAUCCGGCCGAGGGCACGCCUGCCUGGGCGUCACGNNN